GAUCCUGGCUCAGGACGAACGCUGGCGGCGUGCUUAACACAUGCAAGUCGAACGGAAAGAGAUGAAAGAGCUUGCUCUUUUAUUAAUUUCAGUGGCAAACGGGUGAGUAACACGUAAGCAACCUGCCUUAAGGAUGGGGAUAACAGACGGAAACGACUGCUAAUACCGAAUACGUUCUAAGCAUCGCAUGGUGCAUAGAGGAAAGGGUGGCCUCUACAAGAAAGCUAUCGCCUUAAGAGGGGUUUGCG
RNAcentral lists this ribosomal RNA (248 nucleotides) under uncultured bacterium. Its description in RNAcentral is "partial 16S ribosomal RNA". It matches the Rfam family "Bacterial small subunit ribosomal RNA", at positions 15 to 235 of the family's 1533-position model. The record is from RNAcentral.